UGCAGACGGGCCUUCUUCCU
RNAcentral lists this non-coding RNA (20 nucleotides) under Mus musculus (house mouse). The record is from RNAcentral. Lineage: Eukaryota; Metazoa; Chordata; Mammalia; Rodentia; Muridae.